UGGGGAAUAUUGCACAAUGGGCGCAACCCUGAUCCAGCGAUGCCGCGUGUGUGAAGAAGGCCUGCGGGUUGUAAAGCACUUUCAGUGGGGAGGAGGAUAAUAAGGUUAAGAGCUAUAUUAUUGGACGUUACCCACAGAAGAAGCACCGGCAAACUCCGUGCCAGCAGCCGCGGUAAUACGGAGGGUGCGAGCGUUAAUCGGAAUGACUGGGCGUAAAGGGUGCGUAGGCGGUUUGAUAAGUUAUGUGUGAAAGUUCUGGGCUUAACCUGGAGAUUGCAGAUAAGACUGUUGAACUGGAGUAUGGGAGAGGGUAGUGGAAUUUCCGGUGUAGCGGUGAAAUGCGUAGAGAUCGGAAGGAACACCAGUGGCGAAGGCGACUACCUGGCCUGAUACUGACGCUGAGGCACGAAAGCAUGGGGAGCAAACAGG
RNAcentral lists this ribosomal RNA (429 nucleotides) under uncultured bacterium. RNAcentral describes it as "bacterial SSU rRNA". It matches the Rfam family "Bacterial small subunit ribosomal RNA", at positions 355 to 776 of the family's 1533-position model. The record is from RNAcentral.